Long non-coding RNA from Paramacrobiotus metropolitanus, 589 nucleotides. RefSeq lists it as uncharacterized. NCBI's taxonomy places the organism in Eukaryota, Metazoa, Tardigrada, Eutardigrada, Parachela, Macrobiotidae. The record is from RefSeq and is a predicted model, not a curated record. The transcript is spliced from 3 exons.
UGUAACUGUGCUUUUGAAAUGGUUUCUGGUAUUUUGUUUGAAUCAUUGACGUUUUUUGUUUUAUGGCUGUCGACAGCCAAAUUUUAUUUCAAAAUAUUUAAGAAAAGCACUGCUAGUGUUGAUAAAUUUGCGUGGCACUGUCACACACGACAUGCUUAUGGAAGAAGAGCAACAUUCGACACAGUCUGCAAUGAUGCGAGGACCCACAGCAAUUUUGGAUUCAUUCUAGGAUCCUUAGGAGGCUCUGCUUAGAUGGACAAAGUGCAUGAGGACAUGCAGUAAAGCAACAGGGCAGAUGAAGUGUUGCUCUCCAGGUCCUUUGCCAGACGCGAAUUCACCGGGAAGUGCGUGGAUCCAUGAUUGACCAUGCGACAUCCAUGAUUGUCCGUGCCAUCGUGGCGAUAAUUGACUUGUUAUGCAAUUAGUAGUCGCUAAUGCUUCCAUGCUGGCUCUUUUGCAAUUUCUAUCGCUCUUGUCAGUUUUCCGUUUAUGCUUCUGGCGCAUUAUCAAAUCGGUCUUUUUACUUAAUUAUGUUGGUGUUUUCAUGAGAAAGUAUGUCUCGGAUGUUGGCUUUUUUGUGCAAAACUAG